GCAGUCACGGGGGCCCGCAAGGGCAACCGGCGAACGGGUGCGUAACACGUGAGCAAUCUACCGAUUUCUGGGGGAUAGCCGGCCCAACGGCCGGGUAAUACCGCAUACGCUCGCGGAGAGGAGUCUCUCUGUGAGGAAACCUCCGGGGGAAAUCGAGGAGCUCGCGGCCUAUCAGCUAAUUGGCGGGGUAACGGCCCACCAAGGCUAUGACGGGUAGCUGGUCUGAGAGGAUGGCCAGCCACAUUGGGACUGAGAAACGGCCCAGACUCCUACGGGAGGCAGCAGUGGGGAAUCUUGCGCAAUGGCCGAAAGGCUGACGCAGCGACGCCGCGUGUGGGAGGACGCCCUUCGGGGUGUAAACCACUGUUGCCCGGGACGAACAUCCUCUUUCGAGAGGACUGACGGUACCGGCGGAAUAAGCACCGGCUAACUACGUGCCAGCAGCCGCGGUAAUACGUAGGGUGCGAGCGUUAAUCGGAAUUACUGGGCGUAAAGCGUGCGCAGGCGGUUCGUUGUGUCGGCGGUGAAAGCCCCGGGCUCAACCUGGGAA
Molecule: ribosomal RNA, 550 nt
Filed under: uncultured bacterium
Lineage: Bacteria
Description: bacterial SSU rRNA
Rfam family: Bacterial small subunit ribosomal RNA
Source: RNAcentral